This 492-nucleotide ribosomal RNA is filed under the name uncultured bacterium. RNAcentral describes it as "partial 16S ribosomal RNA". It matches the Rfam family "Bacterial small subunit ribosomal RNA", at positions 30 to 507 of the family's 1533-position model. The record is from RNAcentral.
AUUGAACGCUGGCGGCAGGCCUAACACAUGCAAGUCGAACGGUAACACGAUGCGGCUUUCUGCUUCGCUGUGGAGUGUCGGACGGGUGAGUAAUGUCUGUCGAACUCCCCGAUUUCGGGGGGGAACUACUGGAAACGGUAACGAUAAUCGCAUAUCCGCCCUACGCCAAAAAGCGGGAGCUUUUCGCCCCUUGCGCGCUGAUAUGCCCCGAUGUGGGAUUAGCUAGUGGGUGGGGUAAGGGCUCACCAAGGCGACGAUCCGUAGCUGGUCUGAGAGGAUGAUCAGCCACACUGGAACUGAGACACGGUCCAGACUCCUACGGGAGGCAGCAGUGGGGAAUAUUGGACAAUGGGCGCAAGCCUGAUGCAGCCAUGCCGCGUGUGUGAAGAAGGCCUUCGGGUUGUAAAGUACUUUUAGCGGGGAAGAAGAGAGUCAGGUUAAUACCUCGCCUUACUGACGUUACCCAAAGAAGAAGCACCGGCUAACUUCGUG